GCCACCGUAGCUCAAUGGCAGAGCAUUCGCUUCGUAAGCGAGAGGUUAAGGGUUCAACUCCCUUCGGUGGCU
RNAcentral lists this transfer RNA (72 nucleotides) under Anaerolinea sp. RNAcentral's name for it is "tRNA-Thr". It matches the Rfam family "tRNA". Rfam says of the family: Transfer RNA (tRNA) molecules are approximately 80 nucleotides in length. Their secondary structure includes four short double-helical elements and three loops (D, anti-codon, and T loops). Further hydrogen bonds mediate the characteristic L-shaped molecular structure. tRNAs have two regions of fundamental functional importance: the anti-codon, which is responsible for specific mRNA codon recognition, and the 3' end, to which the tRNAs corresponding amino acid is attached (by aminoacyl-tRNA synthetases). tRNAs cope with the degeneracy of the genetic code in two manners: having more than one tRNA (with a specific anti-codon) for a particular amino acid; and 'wobble' base-pairing, i.e. permitting non-standard base-pairing at the 3rd anti-codon position. The record is from RNAcentral. Lineage: Bacteria; Bacillati; Chloroflexota; Anaerolineae; Anaerolineales; Anaerolineaceae. RNAcentral also lists the same sequence under 1 other name.